GACGAACGCUGGCGGCGUGCUUAACACAUGCAAGUCGAGCGGAAAGGCCACUUCGGUGGUACUCGAGCGGCGAACGGGUGAGUAACACGUGAGUAAUCUGCCCCUGGCUUUGGGAUAGCCACCGGAAACGGUGAUUAAUACCGGAUACGACCACUUCUCGCAUGGGAUGGUGGUGGAAAGUUUCUUCGGCCAGGGAUGUGCUGGCGGCCUAUCAGCUUGAUGGUGAGGUAAUGGCUCACCAUGGCUUCGACGGGUAGCCGGCCUGAGAGGGUGACCGGUCACACUGGGACUGAGACACGGCCCAGACUCCUACGGGAGGCAGCAGUGGGGAAUAUUGGACAAUGGGCGGAAGCCUGACCCAGCAACGCCGCGUGAGGGAUGACGGCCUUCGGGUUGUAAACCUCUUUCAGCAGGGACGAAGCGCAAGUGACGGUACCUGCAGAAGAAGCACCGGCCAACUACGUGCCAGCAGCCGCAGUAA
This 481-nucleotide ribosomal RNA is filed under the name uncultured bacterium. RNAcentral describes it as "partial 16S ribosomal RNA". It matches the Rfam family "Bacterial small subunit ribosomal RNA", at positions 28 to 523 of the family's 1533-position model. The record is from RNAcentral.